Molecule: ribosomal RNA, 451 nt
Filed under: Acanthiophilus brunneus
Lineage: Eukaryota; Metazoa; Arthropoda; Insecta; Diptera; Tephritidae
Description: partial large subunit ribosomal RNA
Source: RNAcentral
AAUGAUUUAAUAUUAAAUGGCCGCAGUAUUUUGACUGUGCAAAGGUAGCAUAAUCAAUAGUCUUUUAAUUGAAGGCUUGAAUGAAUGGUUGGACGAAGUAUAAUCUGUUUCAUUUAAAUUUAUUAUAGAAUUUUAUAUUUUAGUUAAAAAGCUAAAAUAUUUUUAAAAGACGAGAAGACCCUAUAAAUCUUUAUAAUUUAAUUUAUUUUUAUUUUUUUGAUUUAUUUUGUUUAAAUAAAUUAAAUUAUUUUGUUGGGGUGAUAUUAAAAUUUAAAUAACUUUUAAUUAUUUUUUUUUCAUUAAUUUAUGUUUUAUUGAUCCAUUAAUAAUGAUUAUAAGAAUAAGUUACUUUAGGGAUAACAGCGUAAUUUUUUUGGAGAGUUCUUAUUGAUAAAAAAGUUUGCGACCUCGAUGUUGGAUUAAGAUAUAAUUUUAGGUGUAGUCGCUUAAA